ACGGGUGAGUAACACGUGAGCAACCUGCCCCUGACUCUGGGAUAAGCGGUGGAAACGCCGUCUAAUACCGGAUACGACCCGCCACCUCAUGGUGGAGGGUGGAAAGUUUUUCGGUCAGGGAUGGGCUCGCGGCCUAUCAGCUUGUUGGUGGGGUAACGGCCUACCAAGGCGAUUACGGGUAGCCGGCCUGAGAGGGCGACCGGCCACACUGGGACUGAGACACGGCCCAGACUCCUGCGGGAGGCAGCAGUGGGGAAUAUUGCGCAAUGGGCGAAAGCCUGACGCAGCGACGCCGCGUGGGGGAUGACGGCCUUCGGGUUGUAAACCUCUUUUACCACCAACGCAGGCUUCCAGUUCUCUGGAGGUUGACGGUAGGUGGGGAAUAAGGACCGGCUAACUACGUGCCAGCAGCCGCGGUAAUACGUAGGGUCCGAGCGUUGUCCGGAAUUAUUGGGCGUAAAGAGCUCGUAGGCGGCGUGUCGCGUCUGCUGUGAAAGACCGGGGCUUAACUCCGGUUCUGCAGUGGAUACGGGCAUGCUAGAGGUAGGUAGGGGAGACUGGAAUUCCUGGUGUAGCGGUGAAAUGCGCAGAUAUCAGGAGGAACACCGGUGGCGAAGGCGGGUCUCUGGGCCUUACCUGACGCUGAGGAGCGAAAGCAUGGGGAGCGAACAGGAUUAGAUACCCUGGUAGUCCAUGCCGUAAA
Molecule: ribosomal RNA, 703 nt
Filed under: Nocardiopsis dassonvillei
Lineage: Bacteria; Bacillati; Actinomycetota; Actinomycetes; Streptosporangiales; Nocardiopsidaceae
Description: bacterial SSU rRNA
Rfam family: Bacterial small subunit ribosomal RNA
Source: RNAcentral